This 25-nucleotide unclassified non-coding RNA is filed under the name Mus musculus (house mouse). RNAcentral's name for it is "oocyte_clustered_small_RNA12396". Lineage: Eukaryota; Metazoa; Chordata; Mammalia; Rodentia; Muridae. The record is from RNAcentral.
CAGUGCUGUCGAAGGAUCCUGCUGG